Molecule: transfer RNA, 74 nt
Filed under: uncultured marine phage
Description: tRNA-Asp
Rfam family: tRNA
About the family: Transfer RNA (tRNA) molecules are approximately 80 nucleotides in length.
Source: RNAcentral
GGCUUUGUAGCUCAAUCGGUAGAGCAUCGGGUUGUCAGUCCGAAGGUAGCGGGAUCGUAACCCGUCAGAGUCAC